GUCAUGUUAUCGAUAUGUGAAUACAUAGCAUAUCAGAAGGCACACCCGGAGAACUGAAACAUCUUAGUACCCGGAGGAAGAGAAAGAAAAUUCGAUUCCCUUAGUAGCGGCGAGCGAAACGGGAAGAGCCCAAACCAACAAGCUUGCUUGUUGGGGUUGUAGGACACUCUAUACGGAGUUACAAAGGACGACAUUAGACGAAUCAUCUGGAAAGAUGAAUCAAAGAAGGUAAUAAUCCUGUAGUCGAAAAUGUUGUCUCUCUUGAGUGGAUCCUGAGUACGACGGAGCACGUGAAAUUCCGUCGGAAUCUGGGAGGACCAUCUCCUAAGGCUAAAUACUCUCUAGUGACCGAUAGUGAACCAGUACCGUGAGGGAAAGGUGAAAAGCACCCCGGAAGGGGAGUGAAAUAGAACCUGAAACCGUGUGCUUACAAGUAGUCAGAGCCCGUUAAUGGGUGAUGGCGUGCCUUUUGUAGAAUGAACCGGCGAGUUACGAUUUGAUGCAAGGUUAAGCAGUAAAUGUGGAGCCGUAGCGAAAGCGAGUCUGAAUAGGGCGUUUAGUAUUUGGUCGUAGACCCGAAACCAGGUGAUCUACCCUUGGUCAGGUUGAAGUUCAGGUAACACUGAAUGGAGGACCGAACCGACUUACGUUGAAAAGUGAGCGGAUGAACUGAGGGUAGCGGAGAAAUUCCAAUCGAACCUGGAGAUAGCUGGUUCUCUCCGAAAUAGCUUUAGGGCUAGCCUCAAGUGAUGAUUAUUGGAGGUAGAGCACUGUUUGGACGAGGGGCCCCUCUCGGGUUACCGAAUUCAGACAAACUCCGAAUGCCAAUUAAUUUAACUUGGGAGUCAGAACAUGGGUGAUAAGGUCCGUGUUCGAAAGGGAAACAGCCCAGACCACCAGCUAAGGUCCCAAAAUAUAUGUUAAGUGGAAAAGGAUGUGGCGUUGCCCAGACAACUAGGAUGUUGGCUUAGAAGCAGCCAUCAUUUAAAGAGUGCGUAAUAGCUCACUAGUCGAGUGACACUGCGCCGAAAAUGUACCGGGGCUAAACAUAUUACCGAAGCUGUGGAUUGUCCUUUGGACAAUGGUAGGAGAGCGUU
This 1097-nucleotide ribosomal RNA is filed under the name Staphylococcus aureus. Its description in RNAcentral is "partial 23S ribosomal RNA". It matches the Rfam family "Bacterial large subunit ribosomal RNA", at positions 142 to 1240 of the family's 2925-position model. The record is from RNAcentral. Lineage: Bacteria; Bacillati; Bacillota; Bacilli; Caryophanales; Staphylococcaceae.